Molecule: ribosomal RNA, 253 nt
Filed under: uncultured bacterium
Lineage: Bacteria
Description: partial 16S ribosomal RNA
Rfam family: Bacterial small subunit ribosomal RNA
Source: RNAcentral
CACGAACUGUGCAAACGUUAUUCGGAAUCACUGGGCUUAAAGAGUUCGUAGGCGGCGCGCUAAGUCGGGUGUGAAAGCCCUCGGCUCAACCGAGGAAUUGCGCCCGAUACUGGCGUGCUUGAGUGAGAUAGAGGUGAGCGGAACUGAUGGUGGAGCGGUGAAAUGCGUUGAUAUCAUCAGGAACACCGGUGGCGAAAGCGGCUCACUGGGUCUCAACUGACGCUGAGGAACGAAAGCUAGGGUAGCGAACGGG